RNAcentral lists this ribosomal RNA (1247 nucleotides) under uncultured Pyronemataceae. Its description in RNAcentral is "eukaryotic LSU rRNA". The stretch from base 663 to 1247 matches the Rfam family "Eukaryotic large subunit ribosomal RNA", at positions 1 to 586 of the family's 3401-position model. The record is from RNAcentral. Lineage: Eukaryota; Fungi; Ascomycota; Pezizomycetes; Pezizales; Pyronemataceae.
AGGAUCAUUAUCAUGUAAUAUCCAGUCAUGCUGCUGCGUGAGCUGUAUAAACCCACCCUGCGUACGCUGUCCUGUUGCUUCCGCCGCGCCCACCUGCGCGCGCGGCGGAAGGUGAAGAAUAACCUCCGACUUCCAGUAGGUAAUCUGUCUGAAUGAAAAGGAACAACAAAACGUUAAAACUUUCAGCAACGGAUCUCUUGGUUCUCGCAUCGAUGAAGAACGCAGCGAAAUGCGAUAAGUAGUGUGAAUUGCAGAAUCUAGUGAAUCAUCGAAUCUUUGAACGCACAUUGCGCCUUCUGGUAUUCCGGGAGGCAUGCCUGUUCGAGAGUCAUUGACAACCGUUUCGAGCCCCCCCUUUUGCCCACGUUCGCGAGGGUUGUCGGGGUGGGGUUUCGCAGUUGGUGGUGGAGGAAUGUGACCUGCGGAGCUUGCACGCCCUGCUCGGAAAAUCUCUCCUCCCCGCUGAAAUUCGGCGAUGGGCUUUUUCGGAUAUAGGUGGUGGGAUUGGAGGCGAUAUAAAUGCUCCCCGGCCCGCCGGGCAUAUUCUUCCAAUCCCCCCCAACUUCCAGACGCUCGCUUGUGGCGAUUCGUGACCGCAGGGACACCAGCCAAACGGGUAGGAAGAGCCGAGCUGCCAUGCUGUGUUAAUUUAAAUCAAAGGUUGACCUCGGAUCAGGUAGGGAUACCCGCUGAACUUAAGCAUAUCAAUAAGCGGAGGAAAAGAAACCAACCGGGAUUGCCUCAGUAACUGCGAGUGAAGUGGCAAAAGCUCAAAAUUGAAAUCCGGUACCUCUGGUGCCUGAGUUGUAAUUUGGAGAGACAAAUUUGGUUGACGGUGCCGGCCUAGGUUCCUUUGAACAGGACAACACAGAGGGUGAGAAUCCCGUGCCUGGCUGGAUGACCGUCGCGCUUCUAAAUUGUCUUCGACGAGUCGAGUUGUUUGGGAAUGCAGCUCAAAAUGGGUGGUAAAUGUCAUCUAAAGCUAAAUAUUGGCGAGAGACCGAUAGCGCACAAGUAGAGUGAUCGAAAGAUGAAAAGCACUUUGAAAAGAGAGUCAAAAAGUACGUGAAAUUGCUGAAAGGGAAGCGCUUGAGACCAGACUCGAACCGUGGUGAUCAGCCGUGCCUCUGUGCGGUGUCACUUGCCACGGCUCGGGCCAGCAUCGGUUCUGGCGGCCGGAUAAAAGGUGGAGGAAUGUAGCUUCCUUCGGGGAGUGUUAUUAGCCCCCACCACAAUGCGGCCAGCCG